CGAUUCCCUUAGUAGCGGCGAGCGAAAUGGGAAGAGCCCAAACCAACAAGCUUGCUUGUUGGGGUUGUAGGACACUCUAUACGGAGUUACAAAGGACGACAUUAGACGAAUCAUCUGGAAAGAUGAAUCAAAGAAGGUAAUAAUCCUGUAGUCGAAAAUGUUGUCUCUCUUGAGUGGAUCCUGAGUACGACGGAGCACGUGAAAUUCCGUCGGAAUCUGGGAGGACCAUCUCCUAAGGCUAAAUACUCUCUAGUGACCGAUAGUGAACCAGUACCGUGAGGGAAAGGUGAAAAGCACCCCGGAAGGGGAGUGAAAUAGAACCUGAAACCGUGUGCUUACAAGUAGUCAGAGCCCGUUAAUGGGUGAUGGCGUGCCUUUUGUAGAAUGAACCGGCGAGUUACGAUUUGAUGCAAGGUUAAGCAGUAAAUGUGGAGCCGUAGCGAAAGCGAGUCUGAAUAGGGCGUUUAGUAUUUGGUCGUAGACCCGAAACCAGGUGAUCUACCCUUGGUCAGGUUGAAGUUCAGGUAACACUGAAUGGAGGACCGAACCGACUUACGUUGAAAAGUGAGCGGAUGAACUGAGGGUAGCGGAGAAAUUCCAAUCGAACCUGGAGAUAGCUGGUUCUCUCCGAAAUAGCUUUAGGGCUAGCCUCAAGUGAUGAUUAUUGGAGGUAGAGCACUGUUUGGACGAGGGGCCCCUCUCGGGUUACCGAAUUCAGACAAACUCCGAAUGCCAAUUAAUUUAACUUGGGAGUCAGAACAUGGGUGAUAAGGUCCGUGUUCGAAAGGGAAACAGCCCAGACCACCAGCUAAGGUCCCAAAAUAUAUGUUAAGUGGAAAAGGAUGUGGCGUUGCCCAGACAACUAGGAUGUUGGCUUAGAAGCAGCCAUCAUUUAAAGAGUGCGUAAUAGCUCACUAGUCGAGUGACACUGCGCCGAAAAUGUACCGGGGCUAAACAUAUUACCGAAGCUGUGGAUUGUCCUUUGGACAAUGGUAGGAGAGCGUUCUAAGGGCGUUGAAGCAU
RNAcentral lists this ribosomal RNA (1023 nucleotides) under Staphylococcus aureus. Its description in RNAcentral is "partial 23S ribosomal RNA". It matches the Rfam family "Bacterial large subunit ribosomal RNA", at positions 232 to 1258 of the family's 2925-position model. The record is from RNAcentral. Lineage: Bacteria; Bacillati; Bacillota; Bacilli; Caryophanales; Staphylococcaceae.